Macrobrachium nipponense is the source of this 435-nucleotide long non-coding RNA. RefSeq lists it as uncharacterized. NCBI's taxonomy places the organism in Eukaryota, Metazoa, Arthropoda, Malacostraca, Decapoda, Palaemonidae. The record is from RefSeq and is a predicted model, not a curated record. The transcript has 5 exons.
UGGUAACAGGGGUAUACAUUCAUCUCUGCGUUUGUUCGUCCAAAGGAGAACCCAUGGAACUAAUAGGGACAUGCCGCGUCAAAACGAACUCUUUCCUGAGACAGAGAUUAACAUUCUUGCCAGCUCGCCUAGCCCUGGGAAUGAUAGCCUGGGUCGCCUUCAUCAAUAUCUACAUGGUGAGGGUCAACUUGUCAGUGGCUAUAAUCGCCAUGGUGAAGAGGAAUAUCACUGGUGGGAAGCAUGCUGUAUGCUUGGAGCCUACUUCGUCUGUAGAUAAUGGCUCGUCUAAUUGGCCACAAAAUAGAUGACCAUCCUCUUACGACACCCUCUUCAUUGCAACAGGAAAGAAAUAAUCAGGAAGGAGAUUUCUUGUGGGAUGAGACCACACAAGGCCUGAUUCUUGGGUCCUUUUAUUAUGGAUACACUUUGUCACAG